This 1053-nucleotide long non-coding RNA is filed under the name Mustela putorius furo (domestic ferret). RNAcentral's name for it is "lncRNA (ENSMPUG00000025206.1)". The record is from RNAcentral. Lineage: Eukaryota; Metazoa; Chordata; Mammalia; Carnivora; Mustelidae.
GGUGCCGGAGAGCCUCGGCUGACAUCCAGCGCACCCCUAAGCCGGGAGCACGACAGGACUGGGGAGGCUGUUCUCAAAGCUGGACCAUACGGGUCGUGAGGUCUCUGCCGGGACUGAGUCCAUCCAUCACGGGGACAAUUCCGCCUCUCUGCGAUCGCACUCCAGGGAGCCAGUCUGUCCCGCAGCCGUGUGUCCUUCUUUAUCACGAGGGAAAUGCCCGCAGGAGGGCAGCCGGCGGAGGGCAGGACCUGUGUGUGCCCCCAGUGAAUGUUAACUUGUUAACCUCCCCCACAGGCUUAUCUCUGCGAAACAGCUGAUGUAUCGCUCUCUCGGGCCACCAGCCUUCGCUGUCUCGGGCCACCGGCCUUCACUGGUGUUUUGUCCACAAUCCUCCUCUCUCUCAGCGACCAUGACCUGCAUCUAGAGGGCAGCAGCGACACACGAGUUCCAGCCUGAGCAGGUCCAAGAACAGGGCCAUGGGCAGCUUCGCGAGGGAAGGUGAGCCCAGUCCAGGCUGCGGAUCGCCGGCCCGGGUCGCGGAAUUGCCGGAAUUUCUGGAUGACCCGCUGAAUCUGAGGGGACAAGCGCCGGCAGAGAGGAGGAGCUGGGGCGACGGCAGCUCUGGUGCUGGACACUUACCCCACGAGCCAGGAAGGGCCUCGGAAUCGAAGGUGGUCAGGAGAACCGCCCAGUGCUCUGCCGUGGAUUCCGGUCAUUCUGUGGCAGGUCCCCCUGAUCUGCGUGCAUUUCACAUGGAACGAUUUCCCUGUCUCAAGCCGGCUUCGUCUCUGCGGUCGCUCAUUUCCGUCUAAUCACCUGUGGGCACCAAUACAGUUUAGGAGCAACCACCGGACGGGCCCAGGUUCCAAAAAGCUCCACACGAUGAUAUGUUUAUCGUGCCCCAAACACUUUUUUGGGCCCUUAACAUACCCUACCUCAUUUAACCCCAGAACGGUGCUUUUAUAACCCUCGUUGUUUUUUUUGUUUUGUUUUGUUUUUAAAGUAAACUCUACACCCAACAUGGGGCUUGAACUCAUGACCCCAAGAUCAAGA